Molecule: long non-coding RNA, 1119 nt
Filed under: Monodelphis domestica (gray short-tailed opossum)
Lineage: Eukaryota; Metazoa; Chordata; Mammalia; Didelphimorphia; Didelphidae
Description: lncRNA (ENSMODG00000047214.1)
Source: RNAcentral
CAUCAUCCUGAGUUCAAAUCUGACCUCAGAUACUUCCUAAUUGUGUGACUCUGGGCAAUUCACUUCACCUUGUUUGCCUCAGUUUCCUCAUCUGUCAAAAAGGCUGGAAAAGGCAAUGACAAACCACACCAUUGUCUUUGCCCAGAAAACCCCAAAUGGGAUCACAAAGAGUCCCACAUCACUGAAAUGACUCAACAAUAACAAUAACAACAAUAAGUACUUAUUGACUAAACUGCCUGGUUGGUGAAUGAAGUUACAACUUGACUGAUGGCUCAGUCUCUUUCUCCCUCUCUCCAUCCACCUUCAGGGGUCCUGCUCUGGAGAGGGAUGCUGGUGGUGAUUGGGCUAUCCUGCAGAAGCUCUUGAAUAUGGGGUGUCUGGAGUCUCCCAGGAAUCAGCAAAGUCCCCAUGAGGGAUUCUGGGACUUGGGGCUUAAUCACACUGAAAAAAUAUUACUCUGAGAAGGGGAAAAUAGUCACCAGACUGUUAGAGGGACCUACGAUACAAGAAUAUGAAGAACACGAAGUGAGCGAAUUCCCGAGGCUGCUUUCUCCGUCACUUCCUGUGCCUCACAAGUGCCAAUGGUGGCUCAAGCUUGGCUUAGGACAGCCCAGGAGAGGCACACCUGAAGAAUUUCUUGAGGAUUCCAUGAAAGGAGACAAGGACUCCCAGGAACCAGUAGCUGUACAGAGAAAACAAAAGCAAUCCUGACCCUCAGGAUGCUACUGGGAGUGACAGUGAUGGUGGUAUAUGACAUGUGUACAAGAAAUUAAAAAGAGGAAGCCACAUUUAUAUGGUACUUUUCAAAAGCUUUAUGAAUUUGCUUUACACACCAUGCAUACAGUAUGCUUUACAUACAACAUCGUAUUUGAGCCUCAUUAUCAUUCCCACUUUACAAAUGGGGAAACAGGUUCAGGGGGUAUAGUGACCUGUCCAAUAGAACACAGCUAGUAAAUGUCAGAAGUGGGACUUGGAUUUCCAUUUUUAUGCAGAAUUAAGCAAAAACCAAAUAACAUGAACAUUUCCAUGUAGUUAAUAGAACAUAAAAGAUUCAUGGAAUUGGCAAAUUUUUUUAAUAUGCAGAUUGCUUCUCUUUUAAAAUUAUAAUAAAUUUAGUAC